RNAcentral lists this long non-coding RNA (1236 nucleotides) under Taeniopygia guttata (zebra finch). RNAcentral's name for it is "lncRNA (ENSTGUG00000019202.1)". The record is from RNAcentral. Lineage: Eukaryota; Metazoa; Chordata; Aves; Passeriformes; Estrildidae.
AUGGAGCUGAUAAUCUGCUGACAGUAAAUCUGUUUAUUGACCUAAUAUGGGAACAUCUCUGCUGCUAUAAAUCGUGCCUCCUAUAAAUCAUGUUUUAUCCUUAUCAUCCAGCUAAGAAAAGGCUGGAAGAUAAGGACAGGAGAGGUUGUAAUCAGAAUACCUUGAUCUUCUCUAAUUCUUCCAGUUAGGUUGUACCGCAUACUUAUAUUCUGACGUAGCACAAGGAGAGAUUUCCUGAAGCACAGAAAGAAUGGGCUGUAUGUUUAUCUGUUCAGAAAAUAUUCCCCACCCUCAAAGGCAAAAAAACGUCUGAUGGUAUUCACAUAUUUCUUCCCCUUUUCUUUCUAAUAUACUGUAGGUUUUCAACCAUCAUCCUUUGAGAAUGUUUUAAGCAUGUCAGGUUAUAUUCCCAGUUCUACGCAUGUCCCAGAGAGAUUUAUUUCUACAGAAAUGGUCAGUAGCAGCACACCACCAGCCUCCACGGUAAAAACAAUCACCACCUGGAAGACACCUGACUCUCAGAGAAGUGCUUCUGUACAACCUGUGGUUACUGGAAACAUUGCUCAUGCUCUAGGCACCAUCAGUGGUCACCUUGCUGAUGUGGCAAACAGUUCUUUGGUACAUGCUGUAAAGGUUGCAUCUUCAAGGAGCCAUGCUGUGUCACCUGAGAAGAAAACCAGGGCACAAGCUGAGGCCUUCAGCUAUGUAGAGAGCAGCAGGAAGACUUCCCCUGGCAGCAGAGCAAGUAUAAGCCAAGGACAUUCUUUGCCAAACAAAGCAUUCAGAGGUGGAAAUGCUCAAAGAGUUCUGCACCUAUUAGCUAAGCAUCAAGGGAGUAAUUUACCUUUUACCCUUGUGGAAGUCACUGUCCCACCAAAAAUGCUUCCUGAAGAAUUGAGUGAAACCAUGAUUCCUAAAGCAGUGACCUGUUCUGAUUUACCCUGUUUUCCUGGCGUCCCCUGUGAGCCAAGGCAGGAUGGAAGUGUCAAGUGUGGUCGUUGUCCUUAUGGUUAUUAUGGAGAUGGCUUCACUUGCAGAGCAAGAUGUAGACAACCCUGUGGAAAAAAUAUGGAGUGUGUGGCACCCAAUAUUUGUAAAUGCAAGCCUGGUUAUGCUGGUCAUAACUGUCAGGCUGGUGAGUAUGGCAUGUUAAUUUUGCCUGUGGUAACUCACAUGCACAAAUUAAUGAUUUGCAGAGUACCAUUGGUUUUUUUUUACAGCUCUAUGCAGACCUGA